Molecule: ribosomal RNA, 804 nt
Filed under: Triticum aestivum (bread wheat)
Lineage: Eukaryota; Viridiplantae; Streptophyta; Magnoliopsida; Poales; Poaceae
Description: partial small subunit ribosomal RNA
Source: RNAcentral
AUGUACUUACGCUGUGCAGUUCAGGCCUCUCCAGCUAAAUGGGCUGCCUGGCUUCCACAGACAGAAUUCUGGUAUAAUUCUACUUACCAUUCUUCCUUAGGUUGCACCCCAUAUAAAGCAUUAUAUGGACAAGACCCAAAUGUGGGCCAGUUAGCAGGUCAGUCCACCUCCUUGAACCCGGAUGUUCAGACUUGGUUAGCAUCUCAGACUAAACACACAACAUUGCUCAAAGAUCAUUUGGCCAGAGCUCAGUGCAAGUAUAAACAUUUUGCUGAUAGAAAAAGGUCUGAUCGCCAGUUUGUGGUAGGAGAAACAGUGUAUCUACGGCUCCAACCCUAUGCCCAGUCGUCGGUGGUCAACCGUCCCUACCCCAAGCUGGCUCUUAAAUAUUUUGGACCAUUCAACAUUCUGGAGAAGAUUGGAAAUGCCGCAUACAGACUGGAGUUCCCGCGCGGUAGUCUGGUUCAUCCUGUGUUUCAUGUAUCCCAGCUCAAAGCACACAUACCGGAUCAUACUCCAGUGUUCACUACACUGCCUGUUCCUCUUGACUUGUCCUUGCCAGGAGUGCAACCUGAAGAAAUACUGGAUCGUUGUUUGGUCAAGAAAGGGAAUGCAUCACAUCUUCAGAUCUUAGUCAAGUGGACAAACAUUCCUGCAUCAUCCGCAACUUGGGAAGACUAUCAGGUGCUCAUGGAGCGCUAUCCGGAUGCACCAGCAUGGGGACACGCUAUUUCUUCAGGGGGAGGUAUUGUCAGUACCCUGGCGAUGACAAAGGCGCGUGCAAGGCAAGGGAAGCGGAAAUAA